AAUCGCUCAUUAAGCAAACAAAAAAAUUCAUUUGCAUUGAUAUUGAAUGCACAGGGGAUGUUUUGUUUCUCAUAGAAUUUUAGGCAGAAGAACAUGCUGGAGUUAAGGUUAAGGACUUUCUUUCGUGUAUUGAUUUUGAGCCUGUGGUACAUUUUCCACAGGGGUACCAUGAAGGAACCUCUUUACAUUGGGCAUAAUGUCAGACCACAUGCACAUUUCAUUCCCUGGAGUACCAUUUUUUUGUUCAUUGGACACAGAGGGACAAAUAAACAUGGAUACAACUCAAACAAAGAAUCUUACUAUAUUCUCAAGACAAUAACACAUGGUCUAAAAUGGGAAAACAUUAUUCAAAAGGCUUUUCAUUAAGGGUCAAGCAAAAUUCUCCUACAAGUUCAUGAUCUUCUAUAAUCUCAAAGUUAAUGAAAAUCUUGCCAGGAGAAGAGGGUGGAUAGGUCCAUGGAUAAAUGGCAGAUUUUGCAACAAAUUUAGUCGUCCAGAUUUAGAAUUUAAUGGAUUGGUAGAUCCUGCAAAUGCAGCAAUUACAAAUUUAUUUCAACUUUUUUUUYCACCCAGAUUUCGGAUUUUGUUUAUCAUGGAGUUCAAAUUGCUGAUCUAUAAUCUUCUUCAGAAAUGUUUUAUUUUUUUGAUCGAAUAAAUGUCAAAUCAUUUAUGGA
This is a long non-coding RNA of Actinia tenebrosa (Australian red waratah sea anemone), 674 nucleotides long. RefSeq lists it as uncharacterized. NCBI's taxonomy places the organism in Eukaryota, Metazoa, Cnidaria, Anthozoa, Actiniaria, Actiniidae. The record is from RefSeq and is a predicted model, not a curated record.